CGCCUGCCUCGAGACAAUCAACACUACAUAAAUUCAACUCGGGUGCUUGAAAUCCGAUUCUCCUCUCCAACUCCUCUAGUUCCCUGCAGAAAAUGGCAUUUUGGGAGAUGACACUCUAAACUGGUGCUUUUCCUCCCUCCUCGUCAUGCCACAGAGUUGGUAUUCUGGGCUUCAGUGUGCCCUAUUGGCCAAGCCACAGCCCGACAGCCUUUCAUUACACUAGCCGAAGGAGGUGGCCUGGACAUCCCCAUCGAAGACACCAUCACCACACCCCAAAGUGUGCCCAGCUCCGAGCUGUUCCCUGGAUACAUCAACAAGAGAGAUGAGAAAACAGCCGCUCUGUUUGUACAUCAUUUAACCGGCAAUCAUCAAGCCUGACCUAUUAUAGAUGGGCUUGUGAUGGAUUGUUCAUUCAUCCAGGGUGUUUUCCCGCCUGUGUUAGAAGUUGCUCUGGCAUCUCUGCAAUCCUACAUAGAACAAGCGGUUUGGAAACUGGAUGGAUGGAUGUCAUGGCUGGAACUACACCGCCACCUGCUGAUCCAAUAGAACUUGCUCGGCAGUUCCUUCCUUCCACAUUCUAUUAAAAUGGAGCUGCAAGAACUCCACAAACCUGAUGAUUCAUAAUGAGCAUGAUUUGAGAAUAAUUCAGUGAGCAACUUGUGAUUCUGACCGUCUGACCGUCAAUGUCACAUAACUGUUUUUCAUAGUUACUUAGAAAUA
Sinocyclocheilus grahami is the source of this 720-nucleotide long non-coding RNA. RefSeq lists it as uncharacterized. Lineage: Eukaryota; Metazoa; Chordata; Actinopteri; Cypriniformes; Cyprinidae. The transcript has 4 exons. The record is from RefSeq and is a predicted model, not a curated record.